Molecule: ribosomal RNA, 490 nt
Filed under: uncultured bacterium
Lineage: Bacteria
Description: partial 16S ribosomal RNA
Rfam family: Bacterial small subunit ribosomal RNA
Source: RNAcentral
AUUGAACGCUGGCGGCAGGCCUAACACAUGCAAGUCGAACGGUAACAGGAAGCAGCUUGCUGCUUCCCUGACGAGUGGCGGACGGGUGAGUAAUGUCUGGGAAGCUGCCUGAUGGAGGGGGAUAACAACUGGAAACGGUAGCUAAAACCGCAUAAUGUCGCAAGACCAAAGAGGGGGGCCUUUGGGCCUCUUGCCCUCGGAUAUGCCCAGAUGGGAUUAGCGUGUUGGUGGGGUAACGGCCCACCAAGGCGACGAUCCCUAGCUGGUCUGAGAGGAUGACCAGCCACACUGGAACUGAGACACGGUCCAGACUCCUACGGGAGGCAGCAGUGGGGAAUAUUGGACAAUGGGCGCAAGCCUGAUGCAGCCAUGCCGCGUGUAUGAAGAAGGCCUUCGGGUUGUAAAGUACUUUUAGCGGGGAGGAAGGGAAUAAAGUUAAUACCUUGCCGCAUUGACGUUACCCACAGAAGAAGCACCGGCUAACUCCGUG